This is a long non-coding RNA of Ruditapes philippinarum (Manila clam), 1557 nucleotides long. RefSeq lists it as uncharacterized. NCBI's taxonomy places the organism in Eukaryota, Metazoa, Mollusca, Bivalvia, Venerida, Veneridae. The transcript has 3 exons. The record is from RefSeq and is a predicted model, not a curated record.
ACAACGCGACAAUGCGAUACGACGCUCGACAAUGCGAAGUGACACUCGACAUCGCGAAGCGACAUUUUUAAAAUGUCGAGUAAAUGUCGCGUUAUUUUUAUGAUUUUUACACCGCGACGCUCAACAUUGCGAAGCGACACUCGACAAUGCGAAGCGACACUCGACAACGCGAAGCGAUACUCGACAACGCGAAGCGACACUCGACAAUGCGAAACGACAUUUGGAAUAAUAUCGUAUCGCAUUGUCGUGCGUCUACCGGUGCUUGGUCAAAAUUUACUAACUCACCGACAAACGGUGCGAUCUUGGAAGACAGAGACAUUUGGAUUGCAAACUACUAUUUUUGCUUGAUUUAAUACACCCAUGCACGAAUCUCCGCCUACUAAUGAAUAUUUAUAAGUACUUUCAAUAGGAGCGUACAUUCAAUGCGUGCGAUUUAAUGCCACUUGUAUAACACGUGAGAUAACAUGUCAUCGUCAGAAGGUAAGACUUUUGUAUUUCUUAGCUUGACUCCUGUCGCUGAUAACUUCAAAGAAAAAUACCAUUUUGCCGCAGCUGGAUGCUUAACUAACAGAACAUUUACUAGAACUAAAACGGAGGCUGAAAGUGAAAAGCGCUAAGCUCGCGCCUAACUAUGGGGAGAGAUAAUAUCCUGGAUAUUGUGUACAUGUUCUUGAUUACUCGUUACUGAGAAACAACUCUACUGUAGGCCUACCAUCCAAUAUUUUGAUAGUUUCAUAAUUGUGUGACAAAAAAACUGAAAAAUGAAUAGAAGUCUCCUGAUACUUUAUAAAGUUGUAACAUAAUUACCUCCCUUUGAUUAGUUUCAGACGAAAUCAUGAUAGAUACCUCUUCUUUACAGACUUGUUCAAAUGGAGAAGAAUUUGACAGCCCCUUAGGGGAAAUUCUCAUCCAAAUUGGUUUGGGACAUCUCAGAAAGAACUUUAAAGAAAAUCUGAUCACCUGAGCAUAAUGUGAGGUAUUGUGAUGGCCCACAGUCCGUCGUCCGUCAUCGACAAUUUAUUCAAACAACAUCUCCUAACCACAUGGCCAAUUACAACUAAACUUUACAGGAAUGUUCCUUAGGUGAUCUCCUUUCAAAGUUGUUCAAAAAAUUAAAUUCCAUGAAAAAUUCUGGUUGCCAUGUCAACAAAUACGAAAAACUUUAAAAAUCUUCUUGUCAGAAACUAUUUGACCUAGAGCUUAGAUACUUCUAAAGUGUGUAGCAUCCUCUAUUGGACCUCUAUCAAGAUUGUUCAAAUUAUAGCCCCAGGGUCAAUAUUGGCCACACCCAGAGGGUCACUUGAUUUUACAUAGACUUAUAUAGGAAAAUCUUUAAAAAUUUUCUUGUCAGAAACUGUUUGGCCUAGAGCUUAGAUAUUUGGUGUUUAGCAUCCUCUAGAGGACUUCUACCAAGAUUGUUCAAAUUAUAGCACCAGGGUCAGUAUUGGCCCCGCCCGGGGGUCACUUGAUUUUACAUAGACUUGUAUAGGAAAAUCUUAAAAAAUCUUCUUGUCAGAAACUAUUUGGUCUAGAGCUUAGAUAUUUGGUGUGUAGCAU